Long non-coding RNA from Cryptomeria japonica (Japanese cedar), 1799 nucleotides. RefSeq lists it as uncharacterized. The record is from RefSeq and is a predicted model, not a curated record. The transcript is spliced from 3 exons. Lineage: Eukaryota; Viridiplantae; Streptophyta; Pinopsida; Cupressales; Cupressaceae.
CAUACAAGGGUCAUUGCACCAUUCUUUCCUUUUCCUUUUACAUGUGAGAAAGCUUUAUCUCGGUUUUAAGGGUUUGCCAUUAUAAGCAGACACAUAGCACAUGCUAACAACCACUAUGAUUUCGGCGGUACACAAAAACCUUAACAGAGAAUUCCUUUUCUAGUUUUAUUUUGCAGAUGUGAUUUGGAUAGCUUUGAUAUCAGUGUAGUAAAAUACUGUUCAUCUUCUCUUGUGAAUGUAGAAUCAUUUUCACAUAAGUUUUUAAGGCAUUUAUAGAUUUUACUCAUUCAAGUGUGGAUUCAAGUUGGGGGUAGUCCAGAAAUUGUGGCCCGUUUAGACGCAACCGUUAAAGACUAGGAAAAUCGACAGAAUGAGAUAAUUAAAGGCUUUGUAUCUAUAAAUCCAGACAAUGGAAAACCCAAAUUGAAAAGCCAUUCAAAGGUUUGUUGGGGCAAUUCGUUCUAAGAGGCACGACAUGUUUAGGAAAAAAAAACUCAAUUCAUAGGUGUUUGCUAUGUAAGGGGAUUUGAAGGCAAACAUCGGCAAACAGAUUCUCUGUGUUGUGUCUUUCUAUGUUGUGGCAAGUGGGGGUUUCUUUCUUCAGGCCUUUGGAAUUAGUUUCCUUUAACAGGAGCCUACAAUUUUAACCUUAGUCUUUUCCUUAUGCACCACAGUGAGGAAGCCGCAUGAUAGCAGGGGAUGAUCUUGAUUGUUGGUGUAAUUAUUUUGUAGGUUGUGGGGAUUUGUUUGGCAAGCACAAGGUAUUCUCACUUAAACCUGGUGAAAUCAUUUUAUACGACGUCGGUGGAGAGCAGGGCAUGGAAUUUUGAUCGCUACCUCAUUGUGAGGUGUGGGCGUCUUCUAUUCUAUCUCUCUCAAAGUAAAGCGAUUUACCUCUGCAUGUUUUUGGUCCUGCAAGGAAUUUUUUCAUUAUUAAAUCUUUUCUUGAAGAGCUUUUAUUAAUGCAUUACCUUUUUCUCGAAGAAAACCCUAGCCAAGCGGCUGUCACUUGGCGAGGAAGAGCAUGGCGUUGAGCUUUGGAUUGAAACCCUAAGGAUGCUUGUAUCGCGCUAAAGAUUCAGGUUAUAAGCCUUGAACGAUCGACUGGAAUGCCCAUGCUUUACAUUGUUAAGGCAGGCAAAUUUAUUAGAUGGGGAAGUCCUAUUGCACCUUCAGAGGCAGAAAUUUAUGCAUGCAUGUAUCUAUAAAUGGGUUGCAUUCCCCGUAUUUUGUUAUUUCCUGUCUUAAAUUUAAUGGUUGUAUAAUGUUUCAAUUAUGGAGAUUGAUUGAGGAUGGUGUGUUUGGAGUGAAAUUAAGCCCAUUAUGUCUUGUUUUUCUAGACUUGAACUUUGCAAUUCAUGGGCAUAUACUUUUUGGAUGUAAAUGUAAUUUUCAUAUAUCUAGGGCCAGGCCAUUUAAGGAGCACUAGAGUCUUGAAGACACAAAUCUCUGGUUUCGGAUGCUAAACUUUUUCAUGUGAUGAUACAAAUGUAUUCUAAAGAGUAGUUCUCAUCAAGGGUGAUGACCAUGAACAAAGGAAGGAGCACCACCAUCACCAUGGUCACCAUCAUCGCAAAUCUUAUGAUGAUGAGUGAUCUAGAUGCAGAAGCUUGACUUAAAAAUACUUAAAUUACGAGCAUACUAUUAAUGAGAACAUGACAAAUGAUUUGAGUGCAUACCUUUGCUUAGUGGCAAAUAAAAACUUUAGAGGUAUUACUAAUAUGUAUAUGCGGACAUAGAGCUUUAAGGGUGUUAUUAAGAAGCAUAUGGAGACUAUUUAAGAAGUUUAUAUACGUAGU